Herpailurus yagouaroundi (jaguarundi) is the source of this 907-nucleotide long non-coding RNA. RefSeq lists it as uncharacterized. The record is from RefSeq and is a predicted model, not a curated record. The transcript is spliced from 3 exons. NCBI's taxonomy places the organism in Eukaryota, Metazoa, Chordata, Mammalia, Carnivora, Felidae.
AAGCCCAACACCUGGCUGUGUUGGAAAGGCUUAGAGGACCCUGCGAUGACCAAGGCCAUUUGAAAUGCCCUGGUAUGAGAGGCAGAGGCAUCCCUGAGAAGUUCCACAGCGGUGGAGUCCUCUGUAAUCAGGUCCGAUGGACCUUCUCAACAUCACAUCAUCACCAAGAGAAGGACAAAUCAGAAGCCAAUUCAUUGAGUAGCGAUGUCAGUCUUCCCUGAACAAUUCUGAAGGAGCAGCAAAAGAGUUCCGUGACACAAGUAGAAAGUUCAUGGACACAGGUAGACGACGGGGCCAAAGCAAGAGAAAGGCCAAGGAGAGACAAAAGGAUGUCUCCCGGUCAUAUCUCAGGCCAGUUGCCCUCCUGGCCCUUCCCAAUCUCACGUGUACACCUCUUUUAUGUAAGAGAGUUGGUGUUGAGUUUCAGACCCUUCCAACAGAAAAUGUCUGUUUUGUGGGUUGAAUUGUGACCCCCCCCCCGUGACCUUUUAAGUGAGAGUUUUGUGGGUUGAAUUGUGGCUCCCAAAGGUAUGGCCACCCAGAAGCUCAGAGUGUGACCUUAUUUGAAUGUUUUUACAGAUACAAUUAAGGUAAGAAUCUUGAGAUGAGAUCACUGGACCUUAAUCCAAUGACAAGGUCUGAUUAGGGCAGAGGAGGAGAAGGAGCAGGGGGAGACAGAGAGAGGGCCACAUGAGGAUCGAGGUAGAGACAGGAGCGGUGCAGUCAUAAGCCUGGGGACACCUGGAGCCUGGAAGCCAGGAGGAACCCCGGCCUGGAACCUUCCGUGGGAGCACAGCCCUACUGACUCCAGGACUGGGAGAGAAGAAGCUUCCGUUUCAAGCCACCCAGUUUGUGAUCAUUUGUUAUGGCGGCCACAGGAAACGGAUUCUGCGGGCAUCGUGCAAAA